This 3254-nucleotide long non-coding RNA is filed under the name Homo sapiens (human). RNAcentral's name for it is "HSALNT0183869". Lineage: Eukaryota; Metazoa; Chordata; Mammalia; Primates; Hominidae. The record is from RNAcentral.
GUCGAGGAGCAAAAACCAACCCACCCAUGACUCACAGGGCCCUGGAAGCAGAACGAGGCGCCCCAACCCAGACACUUGGGCUGCAUUGGAGAGGACAGAGUUGCCGUCCUGACCUGCUGUGAGCAGUGUGGCUGUGGCAAGAGACAGAUCAGCUCUGGGGGGAAGCCUCAAGCGAUGAAGCCAGGUCCCAGCACAGUGCAGCACGUCGGAGACCCUGCGGCACGUCGGAGACCCUGCAGAAGGGCCUAUUCAGGUCGCUGGUGGACGCUCCCCUGCACUCAAGUCACCAAAUCCCACAGAGGGUUGGAGAAGAGGGGGCGGCUUUGCAGUGAGACAGACCUGCGUUCGAAUUCCAGCUUUGGUUCAAAUGACGAGCUGUGUGCCCUGGGGCAAGUCAUUUGUUUAGUUUUUGUUCAUCAACUUCCUCCUCUGUAAAAUGAGAAUGGACUUGAGUAAAAACAUGCCUGUGAAGUAUUUAGCAAAGAGCCGGCACAGGGUAAUCACUCACUGCAUAGUUACUACUGUCCUGGUCAUUGUCAUGACAAUUACCAGUCACUCUCUGUUUCCUUCCUGACUUUAGACGGCACAUCUAAAAGCCCCCACGACAACAUCUGACACAACGUAACGAGAUUGUAGCGCUGUCUAAGAAACAACCCUGCAAAGCAGCCACAAACUAGGCUCUCAUCCCGACGAUUUGAGCGCCCUGGUUACAUGGAAGUUUAAUUUCUUCCUGGCUAAAUCUAGAACGUGGGAAAUUCUGCAGAAAUAAAUGACCUAGUUUCUUGAACAGAAUAAACUGCAUGGGAAGAGGGGAAUGCAGGUGUGACAGGUGUAAAGAAAGCAGCCGGUGUGUGUAGGCCCUGGAUAAAACCUGAUUGAAACACAGUGACUGUAAGAAGGUCCCUCUCCCCACUUUUUUGAAAACCUCAAGAAAUUUGAGCAUAAGCCAAGUAUUAGUUUAAUUGUUAGAAAUCUUGUUAGAUAUAAUUGUAGAAGUGCAGUUAUGGGCUAAAUAUGUUUAUUUAUUAAAAAUACAUGAGGAAGUACUUUCAGGUAAAAUUGUAAUGCCUGGAAUUUGCUAGAAAAUCUCUGAGGAGAGAUCUGAGGGUGGGGAGAUGAAAGAAGCCAGGCAUGAGCCGGGGGAGGUACAGAGGCUGAGGCUGAACACCCUUCACUCUUCUUUCUACUCUCAUGUAAUGUGGAUGUUUCUAUAAUGAAGUAAGUAUAAAAGUCAACAAAACCUCCCACUAACCUAACUGUGUCCGGGUUUCCGAGGUUCCCGGUUUCAGCUCAGCUGCCUGUGUUCUGGGGAGGGACUCCUCUCCAGCUGAGGGAUCCGCGGGGACUGGCUCCCUCACACACACACAGCAGCACCUGCUGCCCGGGCACUCAGGCCUCUGCCUUACACCCUCUCUACCACGCUAGACACGCAGGACCCUGGGCCAGUGACCUAACCCCUCUGCACCUCGGAGCCUCCGUGUCAAACUGGGCUUGGGGAUAUCAAGCCUCUAGGCUUGUGUCUGCUGCAUAAGAAGCCCUCCAAAAGCAUUGCUCCACCCCUCUCUCGGGCUCUGUUCUCUCCUGGUCUAUCUAAACCUCAGAUGGCUACAGAAGCCCAGCACUCUGUGAGCCUGUCAGGGGAGCUGAUGGCCCCAGUGAUGCAGGCCUGGCAGUCUGGGGUGAGGAAGACAGCUCCAAGCCCAGUCACCUCUCCCUUCCUGUGCCUAUCUGUGAACUAGAGCUUCAAGCAGCUCCAAAUAAACUCGAGAGCUCCUGGCUAUGCAACAUUGAUAUCUUGGCCUCGAAGCGGGAAAUCUGAGCCAACUUAAUAUCUUCCUUGAAUAAUCUGCUAAUUUUGAUGCCAGGAGCACUUCACCAGCUGUCGAUAGCUCCAGUGAGAAAUGAACCAGAAGAGACACGUUUGACCUGCUGUGGAUUCAGAUCCAACCACACGUGUGGGACUUGGGAGACAGGCACGUGGGUGUGCACGUUGUCAGCAGGGGCUGGCUUCAGACUGAGGCUGAACACAUACAGGAGCCCAGACCAGGUGGCCUUGGCCCUUGUAGGCGAUGGUGAGAAUACUGAUUUGUAUUAAGAGGAAUGAAAGAUUUGGAGAGGAAGCAAUUCUGAUUUUCACCAUCAAAUGACAAGAACUGAUCUUCUGCCUUUAAGUAGUUAUAAUUAGGUCAUUGCAAAAUUAACAAAAUUAAUAAGCUUAUAUCUGGGAGACCUCUUAAGACAGCAGUGUCCAGCUGGGUAAUGGCACGGAUUAUGCCCACACAGCCUGGCCACUCUGUUGGGGGAGCAGCCCCCGCUGGAGCAGCCUAGGGAGAGGAUGCAGGCCUUCCCCAUCAGCUCAGCAGCUUAUGGCUCAGUGGGUUUAGAUGCUGGUAGUAAGCUCCUCACCCUCUUGCCCAAUGUCUACAAAGGGUUGUUUUGUUCAUGAUGUCCAGAGGUCUAGUUGCUCAUGACAGGUGGAUAAGUCCAGUGACUCCACUGGGGCCUGAGGCAGAAUUGUUGCGGCACCUCCUCGUUUCUCCCGUUCCCUCCCCUAUCCCAGGCAGGUCCUGGCUAAAGACGUCCUUGGCCAGCUGGGUGUCAGGGGUAGGAUCUUGCCCCUCAACUCCUGGCCACAGGGGGACUUUCUCCUUAUCUACAGCCCAGGCCAAUAGUCUCUUUCUCUGUCCUUAAGGGAUUUAGGGAAUAGCCGGUCCUCUCUCACCCUCGAAUGGAUCACAUGUUAUUGAUCUCAUGUGUCACCACCCAGGGUAGGUUUCUGUGGCCUGCAUCCAACUCCAGGCAGGCGCUGCUCCUCGUCUCCCAGGCACCACAGGCAUUUUCCUCCGUGUGCCCUCUCAGAGGCUGUGGUGGUGUGUGUGGAAAGAGCCUGCACCCCUUCUGUGUCAACUUCAUCACCAAUUAAGUAAAGCUUGGCAUCCUCAGAGGAAAGAUUUUAUUAUAAAUUCUUAACAUAUUUAGAAAUAUCAGCAUAAUCAUUAUAAUGCAUUAUUCAGUUAGUUAAAUGUGCUUUAAAAAAAAACAUGAAAUAUAUCUUCAUUGUACAGGCAUCUGUUGUUUCUUGCAAACGAUUAUCUGUCACUGAAUCAUCAAUUUUUUAUUUUAUUGUGUGUCUAAGGCUAUUUGUUCUAAUUAAGGCGCAUGCAUGGUGCCAAGCAGGCUUGCCUGACUGUGGAAGGGGCUCCAGUCCUGCUUUGUCUAACAGUCCUGAAUGUGCUGGAUGGGCAACCCCAGGA